CCUACGGGGGGCAGCAGUGGGGAAUAUUGGACAAUGGGGGGAACCCUGAUCCAGCCAUGCCGCGUGUGUGAAGAAGGCCCUCGGGUUGUAAAGCACUUUCAGUGAGGAAGAACGCCUGGUGGUUAAUACCCAUCAGGAAAGACAUCACUCACAGAAGAAGCACCGGCUAACUCCGUGCCAGCAGCCGCGGUAAUACGGAGGGUGCGAGCGUUAAUCGGAAUUACUGGGCGUAAAGCGCGCGUAGGUGGCUUGAUAAGCCGGUUGUGAAAGCCCCGGGCUCAACCUGGGAACGGCAUCCGGAACUGUCAAGCUAGAGUGCAGGAGAGGAAGGUAGAAUUCCCGGUGUAGCGGUGAAAUGCGUAGAGAUCGGGAGGAAUACCAGUGGCGAAGGCGGCCUUCUGGACUGACACUGACACUGAGGUGCGAAAGCGUGGGUAGCAAACAGGAUUAGAUACCUGUAGUC
Molecule: ribosomal RNA, 463 nt
Filed under: Vreelandella stevensii
Lineage: Bacteria; Pseudomonadati; Pseudomonadota; Gammaproteobacteria; Oceanospirillales; Halomonadaceae
Description: partial 16S ribosomal RNA
Rfam family: Bacterial small subunit ribosomal RNA
Source: RNAcentral